CGGGUCCCGCAGGCGCCGGUCCCGCUCUCAGGGUUCCCUGCGGGCUUUCCCGACUUCCUGCCCUGCUUCACUCCCGGGGCCACCUUUUAUUGCUGCCGGGUGGCGUCUCCUGCUGACGUCACCCGGCCCCAGCUGGAUAUAAGCGCGGUUUACAAAUUGCGCCAGCGGUUGUCCCGCGCGCGUGUCCCUGCUCUCUCCGGCUUCUGCGUAGGACUUCUUUGGAACUUUGGGUAUUCAAAGUACAGUCCCAAUUGACUUAAGUUACAACUGUGAGUGCUCCACACACGUGCUGAUCUGACUGUAUGCAUCUCAACUGGAUACCCAGGAAGUGAAGAAUGCAUAAUUAAUAGUGGCCAUCAGACAAAAUGUUGCUUUAUGUGACUUUACUUUAAGUGAUCAUUGCAAAAGAACUCUGGCAGAGGAUAUCUUAUAAGGAAGAUAAAGAUCCCACUUAUUAGCAACAGGACACCAGACAUGAACCCAAUUGGAAUAGCAGUCCCCAUUUGUUGUGCCACUGGGACAGGUGGCAGAUGGAAAGAAGGAGGAAAAGGGAUAGUGCUAUUGGUUGCCACUGAAUAACCAUUCCAGGUCACUGGCACUAAGACACAAAUACCAGCAAAUACAUACAAGAUUCCACCAGCUAAAUGUAAGAAUUUAAUCCAGUUUUGU
Molecule: long non-coding RNA, 669 nt
Organism: Alligator mississippiensis (American alligator)
Lineage: Eukaryota; Metazoa; Chordata; Crocodylia; Alligatoridae
Exons: 3
Source: RefSeq, a predicted model, not a curated record